AUUAGGGGCCAAAAAGGGUCCAAAUAACAUUUUCUUGGUGUUUGCACUAUAACUUUAAUUUAAGUAAAUAGAAAUCUAUGAAAUUUUGACACAAGGUUUAUGACCACAAAAGGAAGGUUGGGAUCGAUUUUGGGAGUAUUGGUUCCAACAGUUUAGGAAUUAAGGGCCCAAAUAAGCAUUAUUCUUGGUUUUUGCACAAUAACUUUAGUAUAAGUAAAUAGAAAUCAAUGAAAUUUAAACACAAGGUAUAUGACCACAAAAGGAAGAUUAGGAUUGGUUUUGGGAGUUGAGGUCCCAACAGUUGACAAAUUAGGGGCCAAAAAGGGGCCCAAAUAAGCAUUUUUCUUGGUUUUCGCACCAUAACUUUAGUAUAAGCAAAUAGAAAUCUAUGAAAUUUAAACACAAGGUUUUGACCAUAAAAGGACGGUUGGGAUUGAUUUUGGGAGUUUUGGUCCCAACAGAUUAGGAAUAAGGGGCCCAAACGGUCCAAAAUUAAACUUUGUUUGAUUUCAUCAAAAAUUGAAUAAUUGGGGUUCUUUGAUAUGCCGAAUCUAACUGUGUAUGUAGAUUCUUAAUUUUUGGUCCCGUUUUCAAAUUGGUCUACAUUAAGGUCCAAAGGGUCCAAAAUUAAACUUAGUUUGAUUUUAACAAAAGUUGAAUCCUUGGGGUUCUUUGAUAUGCUGAAUCUAAACAUGCACUUAGAUUUUUUAUUAUGGGCCCAGUUUUUAAGUUGGUCCAAAUGGUGGUCAAAAAUAUUAAACUUUGUUUGAUUUCAACAAAAAUUGAAUCCUUGGGGUUCUUUGAUAUGCUGAAUCUAA
RNAcentral lists this long non-coding RNA (818 nucleotides) under Mytilus galloprovincialis (Mediterranean mussel). Lineage: Eukaryota; Metazoa; Mollusca; Bivalvia; Mytilida; Mytilidae. The record is from RNAcentral.